GACGAACGCUGGCGGCGUGCUUAACACAUGCAAGUCGAACGGAAAGGCCCUGCUUUUGUGGGGUGCUCGAGUGGCGAACGGGUGAGUAACACGUGAGUAACCUGCCCUUGACUUUGGGAUAACUUCAGGAAACUGGGGCUAAUACCGGAUAGGAGCUUCUGCUGCAUGGUGGGGGUAGGUAAGUUUCGGCGGUUGGGGAUGGACUCGCGGCUUAUCAGCUUGUUGGUGGGGUAGUGGCUUACCAAGGCUUUGACGGGUAGCCGGCCUGAGAGGGUGACCGGCCACAUUGGGACUGAGGUACGGCCCAGACGCCUACGGGAGGCAGCAGUGGGGAAUAUUGCACAAUGGGCGGAAGCCGGAUGCAGCAACGCCGCGUGCGGGAUGACGGCCUUCGGGUUGUAAACCGCUUUCUCCUGUGACGAAGCGAGAGUGACGGUAAUGAGUAAGGAAGCACCGGCUAACUACGUG
RNAcentral lists this ribosomal RNA (468 nucleotides) under uncultured bacterium. RNAcentral describes it as "partial 16S ribosomal RNA". It matches the Rfam family "Bacterial small subunit ribosomal RNA", at positions 28 to 507 of the family's 1533-position model. The record is from RNAcentral.